CAACUAUCAGUAAUCUCUCCAAUAAGAAAGAAUACUCUAGUCUCAAAAAUAAAUAAAUUAUGUAAGUGAUAGUAAACAAAUUAUACACUAAACCUAGUAAAAUGAUACAAAAGGAAAAAAAAAUCCAAAGAAAAUUGUGGGAAAAACAACUAGAGGUAACAAAUUCAACCUUCAUUAACCUCUCCUUCCAUCUGAAGCCUUUCUUGCAUGUCUUUGUCCAUAAAUUGCUAAUCUUCACCAUGGUACAUGUCUUCCGAGUAAUAGUUGCAUUCAGCUUUCCCAUCCGUUUCAUACGCAUCCAUGUUCGCAUCUGUAUACUGCAGAAAAACCUGAGGGAUAUUUGUAACAUGAGACAGGCAGGUGACAUUAAAUUAUUCAGUGUGCAUUUACUAAAGAAAAGAAUAGCAUUAUUUUCAAUCGUAUAUCAUAAUCACACCCAAAGGAAAAAGUAAUUCGAACAAAAA
RNAcentral lists this long non-coding RNA (464 nucleotides) under Olea europaea subsp. europaea. Lineage: Eukaryota; Viridiplantae; Streptophyta; Magnoliopsida; Lamiales; Oleaceae. The record is from RNAcentral.